CCUACGGGGGGCAGCAGUGAGGAAUAUUGGUCAAUGGACGAGAGUCUGAACCAGCCAAGUAGCGUGAAGGAUGACUGCCCUAUGGGUUGUAAACUUCUUUUAUAAAGGAAUAAAACGAGGCACGUGUGCCUUUUUGCAUGUACUUUAUGAAUAAGGAUCGGCUAACUCCGUGCCAGCAGCCGCGGUAAUACGGAGGAUCCGAGCGUUAUCCGGAUUUAUUGGGUUUAAAGGGAGCGUAGAUGGGUUGUUAAGUCAGUUGUGAAAGUUCGCGGCUCAACCGUAAAAUUGCAAUUGAUACUGGCAGUCUUGAGUACAGUUGAGGUAAGCGGAAUUCGUGGUGUAGCGGUGAAAUGCUUAGAUAUCACGAAGAACCCCGAUUGCGAAGGCAGCUUACUAGCCUGUGACUGACAUUGAUGCUCGAAAGUGUGGGUAUCGAACAGGAUUAGAUACCCUAGUAGUC
Molecule: ribosomal RNA, 460 nt
Filed under: uncultured bacterium
Lineage: Bacteria
Description: partial 16S ribosomal RNA
Rfam family: Bacterial small subunit ribosomal RNA
Source: RNAcentral